RNAcentral lists this long non-coding RNA (229 nucleotides) under Elaeis guineensis (African oil palm). RNAcentral describes it as "long non-coding RNA (EGUI_LNC016796)". Lineage: Eukaryota; Viridiplantae; Streptophyta; Magnoliopsida; Arecales; Arecaceae. The record is from RNAcentral.
GCCUAAGUUCGACCAUCUCAUAUCGUUGAUGUGCCAGUGUGGAAGCUUACUCAAGAUGGUUUGUUCUCAAUGAAGUCCUUCUAUAAAUUUCUCAAUUGUGGAGGUCUAAAAUGUCCAUUUGCAAAAAAUAUUUGGAACUCUACUACUAGGAAGAGUGGAGGUCCUCUUAUGGCUUGCAACAAAGAAUAAAUUGCACGUGAAGGAAAUUGUUGCUAAGAAAGGAUGGAAU